CAACCAUCAAGCCCCCGGGCUUGCGUUGGGACCCUGCGGCUGCCGCAGGCCCCGAAAAGCAGUGGCGGGCUCGCAGUCACACCGAGCGCAGUAGCGAUAUUCGCUCCGGGCGUCGGCUGCGGGCACUGGCCGUGAAACCCCCCCUUUCCACAA
RNAcentral lists this unclassified non-coding RNA (153 nucleotides) under uncultured Podospora. Its description in RNAcentral is "partial internal transcribed spacer 2". Lineage: Eukaryota; Fungi; Ascomycota; Sordariomycetes; Sordariales; Lasiosphaeriaceae. The record is from RNAcentral.